RNAcentral lists this ribosomal RNA (425 nucleotides) under uncultured bacterium. RNAcentral describes it as "partial 16S ribosomal RNA". It matches the Rfam family "Bacterial small subunit ribosomal RNA", at positions 354 to 796 of the family's 1533-position model. The record is from RNAcentral.
GUUAGGAAUAUUGGACAAUGGGCGCAAGCCUGAUCCAGCCAUGCCGCGUGAACGAUGAAGGCCUUCGGGUUGUAAAGUUCUUUAGCCGAUGAUUAUAAUGACUGUAGUCGGAAAAUAAGCCCCGGCUAACUUCGUGCCAGCAGCCGCGGUAAUACGAAGGGGGCGAGCGUUAUUCGGAAUCACUGGGCGUAAAGCGUGCGUAGGCGGUCUCGUAAGUUAGGAGUGAAAGCCCAGGGCUCAACCUUGGAAUUGCUCUUAAAACUGCAAGGCUAGAAUCUCGGAGAGGAUAGCGGAAUUUCCAGUGUAGCAGUGAAAUGCGUAGAUAUUGGAAGGAACACCAGUGGCGUAAGCGGCUAUCUGGACGAGUAUUGACGCUGAGGCACGAAAGCGUGGGGAUCAAACAGGAUUAGAAACCCGUGUAGUCC